Molecule: ribosomal RNA, 740 nt
Filed under: Salmonella enterica
Lineage: Bacteria; Pseudomonadati; Pseudomonadota; Gammaproteobacteria; Enterobacterales; Enterobacteriaceae
Also listed under: 3 other names
Description: partial 23S ribosomal RNA
Rfam family: Bacterial large subunit ribosomal RNA
Source: RNAcentral
ACCCUUUAAUGUUUGAUGUUCUAACGUGGACCCGUGAUCCGGGUUGCGGACAGUGUCUGGUGGGUAGUUUGACUGGGGCGGUCUCCUCCUAAAGAGUAACGGAGGAGCACGAAGGUUGGCUAAUCCUGGUCGGACAUCAGGAGGUUAGUGCAAUGGCAUAAGCCAGCUUGACUGCGAGCGUGACGGCGCGAGCAGGUGCGAAAGCAGGUCAUAGUGAUCCGGUGGUUCUGAAUGGAAGGGCCAUCGCUCAACGGAUAAAAGGUACUCCGGGGAUAACAGGCUGAUACCGCCCAAGAGUUCAUAUCGACGGCGGUGUUUGGCACCUCGAUGUCGGCUCAUCACAUCCUGGGGCUGAAGUAGGUCCCAAGGGUAUGGCUGUUCGCCAUUUAAAGUGGUACGCGAGCUGGGUUUAGAACGUCGUGAGACAGUUCGGUCCCUAUCUGCCGUGGGCGCUGGAGAACUGAGGGGGGCUGCUCCUAGUACGAGAGGACCGGAGUGGACGCAUCACUGGUGUUCGGGUUGUCAUGCCAAUGGCACUGCCCGGUAGCUAAAUGCGGAAGAGAUAAGUGCUGAAAGCAUCUAAGCACGAAACUUGCCCCGAGAUGAGUUCUCCCUGAGACUUUAGGUCUCCUGAAGGAACGUUGAAGACGACGACGUUGAUAGGCCGGGUGUGUAAGCGCAGCGAUGCGUUGAGCUAACCGGUACUAAUGAACCGUGAGGCUUAACCUUACAACGCCGAA